This 253-nucleotide ribosomal RNA is filed under the name uncultured bacterium. RNAcentral's name for it is "partial 16S ribosomal RNA". It matches the Rfam family "Bacterial small subunit ribosomal RNA", at positions 524 to 776 of the family's 1533-position model. The record is from RNAcentral.
UACGAAGGGGGCUAGCGUUGUUCGGAAUUACUGGGCGUAAAGCGCACGUAGGCGGACUACUAAGUCAGGGGUGAAAUCCCGGGGCUCAACCCCGGAACUGCCUUUGAUACUGGUAGUCUCGAGUCCGGAAGAGGUGAGUGGAAUUCCGAGUGUAGAGGUGAAAUUCGUAGAUAUUCGGAGGAACACCAGUGGCGAAGGCGGCUCACUGGUCCGGUACUGACGCUGAGGUGCGAAAGCGUGGGGAGCAAACGGG